AUGAAAUCUUACUGGAGUGUUUGCCAAUGCCGACUCCAAAGGAUAGGCUGCCAUGAUGGAAACUUAAUAAGGGCUUUCUCCCCAACACUGGAAAGGACAGGAAAUAAGAACUCUGCAACUACGUUCCUCUUCUCCAAUACAGGUAGAGUAGCUUUGCUUUUUAGCUAUGUUUCAAAUUGGGCUCACCUCUAAGGUUUUUUGUAUAGGAAGGGUUUCCCUGGUUAAAACAAAAACUAAAAACUAGCAGUGUAGCAGAAAGAUCCCUAGUCUUAGAAUACAGAAAUAAUGAGAGGGCUAGGGAUUGUAUUCAGUAACAACAAAGACUUUCCCAUUCUAAAUAUUUAAGACCAAUAGAAAAAGUCUGCUGUCUGCUACCAAAUACUCUUUAACUCCAGCAUGAAAAAUGUACUGUGCAUUUUCUCUGAACUUAGCCAUAUGAUUUUUUAAAGCACAGACCUGCUCUGAAGUGAGGCAGUCACCUCGGAGACUGCGAAAACCUCUCCACAUUUUGAUUUCUUCAUCAGAAAACCCUUGGGGAGGGAGAUAUAAUGUCUUCUUCCUGGGGGUCUCUUGAGAAUGAAGUGAGAUCCUCCUCAUGGGACUGACUGAGCCAAGUUCAGUGGUCAGUCUGCACUUGGUAGUUCUUAGCAUCCCUCCUUCUCCCCAAAAAGAUAGACUCUGAAACCUGUAUUUAUUCCCUUGUAUGGGACAAAAAGAAGGGGGGACAAGCACAUGUUUUUCACUGGUUAUAGCACAGCCAUUUAUCCCAAGAGGAUGAAGCCAGUCACUACAAUACACAGGCAUGGAUUUGAGCUCUCCCCCUCUGUUCUCUGCUCUCCAUAUUCAAUGUGAGUGAAGAAGGCUUUAGAGAGGCUACAGGAAACAUCCUUAUGCUCAUCCUCUGGCAUUGGACAGGCCCCUUUCUCCCAAGCAUCUGUCUCAGAUUCUCUUGUCACUUAUUUCCUCCCCUGAGCACAACCUACCCCCACUCCUUCACACUGUUGAAACGAUUUUCUGUUCUUUAAGAGGAUUCCAGAAUGCUUGGUUAAAGUUGUAAAACCCAGUAAAAGUGAGUCUUUCAUAAUGGAAAAGCUAACAUUCAUUCAAUCAACCGACAGUGAGUGCCUGCCUGCCAGGGCCAGACACUGCUGGUCAUCAGGACACAGCGUGUGAUAAGUCAACAUAAAACUGCGUGACGUCAGCCUGCUCCUGUUAUUCCCAGACAUCGCUGAGUCAGUGGCAACAUUCGCAGUGUUUCAUUCAAUGCCUAUUGAGAAGAAAACCACAUUUGACAACAUUUUUAAAAAGCCAAACCCAGAAUUCCAGAAUUGUUGCCAGCGGAGCUGAUGGAAACAGGGUCCAAGGAGCUGGCUGGCUGGCCACAACGGCGAUGCACUCAGAUGGCUGGAGCCAACUCUCGGCAGCCUACAUUAUGGCCACACAGUUCCACUAGGACCUGAUAAAAAGGCAUGUCCAACUCCCAGAUUUUGACUCAUUCUUUAUUUAGGUGUGGAAACCUAACAAAAUAAAUGAUUAAAUAAUAACA
This 1546-nucleotide long non-coding RNA is filed under the name Sus scrofa (pig). RNAcentral's name for it is "lncRNA (ENSSSCG00035006778.1)". Lineage: Eukaryota; Metazoa; Chordata; Mammalia; Artiodactyla; Suidae. The record is from RNAcentral.